This 412-nucleotide ribosomal RNA is filed under the name uncultured bacterium. RNAcentral's name for it is "bacterial SSU rRNA". It matches the Rfam family "Bacterial small subunit ribosomal RNA", at positions 97 to 507 of the family's 1533-position model. The record is from RNAcentral.
GGCGCACGGGUGAGUAACGCGUAUCCAACCUUCCCAUGUCCACGGGAUAGCCCGUCGAAAGGCGGAUUAAUACCGUAUGAGGUCACAUGCGGGCAUCUAAGUGUGACGAAAGGUUUAGCGGACAUGGAUGGGGAUGCGUCCGAUUAGCUAGUUGGCGGGGUAACGGCUCACCAAGGCGACGAUCGGUAGGGGUUCUGAGAGGAAGGUCCCCCACAUUGGAACUGAGACACGGUCCAAACUCCUACGGGAGGCAGCAGUGAGGAAUAUUGGUCAAUGGGCGGAAGCCUGAACCAGCCAAGUAGCGUGCAGGAAGACGGCCCUAUGGGUUGUAAACUGCUUUCAGUCGGGAAUAACUCGUCGGUCGUGACCGACGUUGCAGGUACCGUCAUAAGAAGGACCGGCUAAUUCCGUG